GAGCUUCUCUUUAAUUGUCAUCUUAGGAUAAAUUCCAGUGGGUCAAUACAUAAGCAGUUUAAAGAUAUUUACACAUAUUGUCAUUUUUGUUUUUCUUCUAGAAGACUAUAUCUGCUAAUACACCCAUCCUUGUUGAAUAUUUACAGUUUUACCCAACUCAUGAGUGCCAUGGUCAAUGCCACCAAGUUCAUGGAUCUGGCAGUGAUGGGAAAAUGAAGAUGCAUUUCUUGGAGUCCAGCUAAUGGAUUUCCUGCACUGUGUGGAAAGGUGGAAAUAUCCAUUCUAGGGGUGAAUGAAUAUUCAGUGGGGUCUUCAAGUGGUGAAGACAAAGCCUAAACAAGAUAAAAUAAGGAGAAGAAUUGGAAGAUUCCAGUACAAAUUUGAAAAACUUAAUCAGACUUUUGAAGAGAAUUAGUUGGUUAUUAAAUUCAAGGAUCUUCUUCUACCUGAAACAUUCCCCUCUCAAACCCUCCCAAUCAAUUACUUGGGCCUAUUUUAGUUUCCUAAAUCCCAGUUUUCUAAAACCCUG
This 529-nucleotide long non-coding RNA is filed under the name Cervus hanglu yarkandensis (Yarkand deer). RNAcentral describes it as "lncRNA (ENSCHYG00000011444.1)". Lineage: Eukaryota; Metazoa; Chordata; Mammalia; Artiodactyla; Cervidae. The record is from RNAcentral.